GAAAUGCGAUAAGUAAUGUGAAUUGCAGAAUUCAGUGAAUCAUCGAAUCUUUGAACGCACCUUGCGCUCCUUGGUAUUCCGAGGAGCAUGCCUGUUUGAGUGUCAUGGAAUUCUCAACUUAUAAAUCCUUGUGAUCUAUAAGCUUGGACUUGGAGGCUUGCUGGCCCUUGCGGUCGGCUCCUCUUGAAUGCAUUAGCUUGAUUCCGUACGGAUCGGCUCUCAGUGUGAUAAUUGUCUACGCUGUGACCGUGAAGUGUUUUGGCAAGCUUCUAACCGUCCAUUAGGACAACUUUUUAACAUCUGACCUCAAAUCAGGUAGGACUACCCGCUGAACUUAAGC
RNAcentral lists this unclassified non-coding RNA (340 nucleotides) under plant metagenome. RNAcentral's name for it is "partial contains 5.8S ribosomal RNA, internal transcribed spacer 2, and large subunit ribosomal RNA". The stretch from base 1 to 105 matches the Rfam family "5.8S ribosomal RNA", at positions 50 to 154 of the family's 154-position model. The record is from RNAcentral.